UGUUUGACAUAAUUAUUAAAAGUUCGCUUAAUAUCCCAUUUUAAAGCAAGUCCACUUUCAUUCUUCAUGCAACUAGGGCCAAUCCUGAAAGAAACCUUUACUAUUCUAUAAACGAAACAACGGUGUACCAAGUGUACUGCUACACAAUGGGAUCUAGGGAGGUAGAGUAUAUGCAGACCUUACCUGUACCUUCUCAGAGGCAGAGAGUUG
This 210-nucleotide unclassified non-coding RNA is filed under the name Hevea brasiliensis (rubber tree). Lineage: Eukaryota; Viridiplantae; Streptophyta; Magnoliopsida; Malpighiales; Euphorbiaceae. The record is from RNAcentral.